Molecule: non-coding RNA, 483 nt
Organism: Camellia sinensis
Lineage: Eukaryota; Viridiplantae; Streptophyta; Magnoliopsida; Ericales; Theaceae
Source: RefSeq, a predicted model, not a curated record
UAUUGAAUAGGUUUUUCCCAAUGUAAACCCAAUUGUCCUGGAUCAGUUGAGGACGAUUGACUGCAUCAUUUAUGCUAUGGGAUCCCUUUUUACUUCCAUCUGCCCAUCUCUGGUUUUACUUGGCAUUGGGGAGAUCAUCGCUUCAAGGUCUUGCCCCAAGGUACUUUUGUUGAAUGGUAUUCAUGACUGAGAAACUAGCGGCUUUUCUGCUGCUUGCUUUGGGUUGGGAGGGUUUCUAGCACAAUCCAACUCUAACCCACAUAAAUAGGUAAUGAAGCUCAAGGAACAGCUUUCCGAGGCAGAGAAGGAGAUACAGAGGCUACUGGAGAGAUGUGAUGGUGUUUCAAGCAACAGCCCGGCUUCAUUGUUCUCCAUGGAAGCCAUGGAUCCACCUCCUUUUCUAGGGGAGUUUGGGAUGGAAGGGUUUGGAAAUAUUUUUUAUGUGCCAGAAAACAAUUACAAUCACAGCAUGGAUUGGGUUAA